RNAcentral lists this ribosomal RNA (253 nucleotides) under uncultured bacterium. Its description in RNAcentral is "partial 16S ribosomal RNA". It matches the Rfam family "Bacterial small subunit ribosomal RNA", at positions 524 to 776 of the family's 1533-position model. The record is from RNAcentral.
UACAGAGGUCCCAAGCGUUGUUCGGAUUCACUGGGCGUAAAGGGUGCGUAGGUGGUCAGGUAAGUCUGAUGUGAAAGCUCUGGGCUCAACCCAGAAAUGGCAUUGGAUACUAUCUGGCUAGAGGAAUGGAGGGGGGACUGGAAUACUUGGUGUAGCAGUGAAAUGCGUAGAUAUCAAGUGGAACACCAGUGGCGAAGGCGAGUCCCUGGACAUUUCCUGACACUGAAGCACGAAAGCUAGGGGAGCAAACAGG